Molecule: ribosomal RNA, 326 nt
Filed under: uncultured eukaryote
Lineage: Eukaryota
Description: partial 18S ribosomal RNA
Rfam family: Eukaryotic small subunit ribosomal RNA
Source: RNAcentral
CCCUUAGAUGUUCUGGGCCGCACGCGCGCUACACUGAUGCAUUCAACAAGCCUAGCCUUGACCGAGAGGUCCGGGUAAUCUUUGAAACUGCAUCGUGAUGGGGCUAGAUUAUUGCAAUUAUUAAUCUUCAACGAGGAAUGCCUAGUAAGCGUGAUUCAUCAAAUCGCGUUGAUUACGUCCCUGCCCUUUAUACACACCGCCCGUCGCUCCUACCGAUUGAAUGUGUUGGUGAGGAGCUCGGAUUGGCAGCAGUUGGUGGUUCGCCACCGGCUAUUGCUGAGAAGUCCUCCAAACCGCCCCAUUUAGAGGAAGGAGAAGUCGUAACA